Molecule: ribosomal RNA, 404 nt
Filed under: Bombina orientalis
Lineage: Eukaryota; Metazoa; Chordata; Amphibia; Anura; Bombinatoridae
Description: partial 12S ribosomal RNA
Rfam family: Bacterial small subunit ribosomal RNA
Source: RNAcentral
GAUACCUAGAGGAGCCUGUUCUAUAAUCGAUAACCCCCGCUUAACCUCACCACUUCUUGCCAAUACCGCCUAUAUACCACCGUCGCCAGCCCACCCCGUGAGGGAAAUAGUAGGCACAAUGAUAAGUCACCAAAACGUCAGGUCAAGGUGUAGCGUAUGAAGUGGGAAGAAAUGGGCUACAUUCUCUAACCUAGAGCACACGAAAAAUCAUAUGAAAUUAGAUCAGAAGGAGGAUUUAGUAGUAAAAAGAAACAAUAGUGUUCUUUUUAAGUUGGCCCUGGGGCGCGCACACACCGCCCGUCACCCUCUUCAACUAAUAAAACACGAUUUAUAAAACAUAAAACAAACACAAGAAGAGGUAAGUCGUAACAUGGUAAGUAUACGGGAAGGUGUGCUUGGAAUUA